Molecule: ribosomal RNA, 400 nt
Filed under: uncultured bacterium
Lineage: Bacteria
Description: bacterial SSU rRNA
Rfam family: Bacterial small subunit ribosomal RNA
Source: RNAcentral
UGGGGAAUAUUGCACAAUGGAGGAAACUCUGAUGCAGCGACGCCGCGUGAAGGAAGAAGGUCUUCGGAUCGUAAACUUCUAUCAGCAGGGACGAAAAUGACGGUACCUGACUAAGAAGCCCCGGCUAACUACGUGCCAGCAGCCGCGGUAAUACGUAGGGGGCAAGCGUUAUCCGGAAUUACUGGGUGUAAAGGGUGCGUAGGCGGUAAUGUAAGUCAGGUGUGAAAGCCCGAAGCUCAACUUCGGGACUGCACUUGAAACUACAUAACUAGAGUACAGGAGAGGUGAGUGGAAUUCCUAGUGUAGCGGUGAAAUGCGUAGAUAUUAGGAGGAACACCAGUGGCGAAGGCGACUCACUGGACUGUAACUGACGCUGAGGCACGAAAGCGUGGGGAGCGAA